Molecule: long non-coding RNA, 421 nt
Organism: Sciurus carolinensis (gray squirrel)
Lineage: Eukaryota; Metazoa; Chordata; Mammalia; Rodentia; Sciuridae
Exons: 3
Source: RefSeq, a predicted model, not a curated record
CUCCCAGAGGUUGGCCCCCUGAAGUUUCUGUGGCAGCCAGUAGACUAGAUAAGCCGUGUUCCUCUGGGAAGCUCAGUUGCAUCACUGGAGAGCCUUCUCCCUGCUCAGGAGUCUCACUCCCCAGAUGGCUUGGCUCUCCGGGACCCAUCUACUUCAGGAGGUGAAGAGUUUGAAGAAUGAAAUCUGAAGGAGGACAGCAAGUUCAAGUCCUGCCUCAACAUUUUGUAGAAGCCCUAAGCAACUAAGCCAGACCUGUCUCAAAAUAUUUACAGAGGGGUUGAAGAUGUAGCACUGUGCUUUCCAUGAUUUGUAUACAGAAGUCACUUUCCAGGAGAGGAAUACUCUUUGAAGUAUAAGCUGAAGUGUACACAUGAUUAACAUCAGAGAGACCUUCAUUUUUGGAAGUAAUUUGAAAGAAAAU